UGCACAUGGGCGCAAGCCUGAUGCAGCCAUGCCGCGUGUAUGAAGAAGGCCUUCGGGUUGUAAAGUACUUUCAGUUGUGAGGAAGGGGGUGGUGUUAAUAGCGGGAUCUCUUGACGUUAGCAACAGCAAGAAGCACCGGCUAACUCCGUGCCAGCAGCCGCGGUAAUACGGAGGGUGCGAGCGUUAAUCGGAAUUACUGGGCGUAAAGCGCAUGCAGGUGGUUCAUUAAGUCAGAUGUGAAAGCCCGGGGCUCAACCUCGGAACUGCAUUUGAAACUGGUGAACUAGAGUGCUGUAGAGGGGGGUAGAAUUUCAGGUGUAGCGGUGAAAUGCGUAGAGAUCUGAAGGAAUACCAGUGGCGAAGGCGGCCCCCUGGACAGAUACUGACACUCAGAUGCGAAAGCGUGGGGAGCAAACAGGAUUAGAUACCCUGGUAGUCCACGCCGUAAACGAUGUCUACUUGGAGGUUGUGGCCUUGAGCCGUGGCUUUCGGAGCUAACGCGUUAAGUAGACCGCCU
Molecule: ribosomal RNA, 517 nt
Filed under: gamma proteobacterium S2
Lineage: Bacteria; Pseudomonadati; Pseudomonadota; Gammaproteobacteria
Description: bacterial SSU rRNA
Rfam family: Bacterial small subunit ribosomal RNA
Source: RNAcentral